This 76-nucleotide transfer RNA is filed under the name Oscillochloris sp. RNAcentral describes it as "tRNA-Phe". It matches the Rfam family "tRNA". From Rfam's summary of the family: Transfer RNA (tRNA) molecules are approximately 80 nucleotides in length. Their secondary structure includes four short double-helical elements and three loops (D, anti-codon, and T loops). Lineage: Bacteria; Bacillati; Chloroflexota; Chloroflexia; Chloroflexales; Oscillochloridaceae. The record is from RNAcentral.
GUGCCUGUGGCGUAGUCAGUCUGCGCGCCCGUUUGAAGAUCGGGAGGUCUCGGUGCGAUUCCGAGCGGGCACACCA